GCAGUUGAGCGCUGAAGGUUGGUACUUGUACCGACUGGAUGAGCAGCGAACGGGUGAGUAACGCGUGGGGAAUCUGCCUUUGAGCGGGGGACAACAUUUGGAAACGAAUGCUAAUACCGCAUAAAAACUUUAAACACAAGUUUUAAGUUUGAAAGAUGCAAUUGCAUCACUCAAAGAUGAUCCCGCGUUGUAUUAGCUAGUUGGUGAGGUAAAGGCUCACCAAGGCGAUGAUACAUAGCCGACCUGAGAGGGUGAUCGGCCACAUUGGGACUGAGACACGGCCCAAACUCCUACGGGAGGCAGCAGUAGGGAAUCUUCGGCAAUGGACGAAAGUCUGACCGAGCAACGCCGCGUGAGUGAAGAAGGUUUUCGGAUCGUAAAACUCUGUUGGUAGAGAAGAACGUUGGUGAGAGUGGAAAGCUCAUCAAGUGACGGUAACUACCCAGAAAGGGACGGCUAACUACGUGCCAGCAGCCGCGGUAAUACGUAGGUCCCGAGCGUUGUCCGGAUUUAUUGGGCGUAAAGCGAGCGCAGGUGGUUUAUUAAGUCUGGUGUAAAAGGCAGUGGCUCAACCAUUGUAUGCAUUGGAAACUGGUAGACUUGAGUGCAGGAGAGGAGAGUGGAAUUCCAUGUGUAGCGGUGAAAUGCGUAGAUAUAUGGAGGAACACCGGUGGCGAAAGCGGCUCUCUGGCCUGUAACUGACACUGAGGCUCGAAAGCGUGGGGAGCAAACAGGAUUAGAUACCCUGGUAGUCCACGCCGUAAACGAUGAGUGCUAGAUGUAGGGAGCUAUAAGUUCUCUGUAUCGCAGCUAACGCAAUAAGCACUCCGCCUGGGGAGUACGACCGCAAGGUUGAAACUCAAAGGAAUUGACGGGGGCCCGCACAAGCGGUGG
RNAcentral lists this ribosomal RNA (894 nucleotides) under Lactococcus lactis. RNAcentral describes it as "bacterial SSU rRNA". It matches the Rfam family "Bacterial small subunit ribosomal RNA", at positions 57 to 935 of the family's 1533-position model. Lineage: Bacteria; Bacillati; Bacillota; Bacilli; Lactobacillales; Streptococcaceae. The record is from RNAcentral.